This is a long non-coding RNA of Choloepus didactylus (southern two-toed sloth), 724 nucleotides long. RefSeq lists it as uncharacterized. Lineage: Eukaryota; Metazoa; Chordata; Mammalia; Pilosa; Megalonychidae. The transcript is spliced from 3 exons. The record is from RefSeq and is a predicted model, not a curated record.
AAAUAAUUUAACUUAAAUCCUUUGUGUAAAUUUUUAAGACAGGAGUUACUGGCUGCAGCAGAAAGCGGGAGACAACCAUUGAGCAGCUCUUACAACUUCCUUUGUGGCUGAUUGUUACUUUGUUGCAUGGUACGGGAGCAUCUGUGACCUGCUAUUUCUGGAACUGUGACAUUGUGAUCGGACAUUGUAGAAACUUUGCCCAGUCUGCUUUCUGAAGGUGGUUGGAGCAUGGAGAAAGUUGGAGCAUAGCUUAUCUGGGAAGAGAAUGAUCUGUGAAAUGGAAGGGGUAGAAGAAACCUAUCAAAGAGAAAUAAAAUUCCUGUGUGUGAAGAGAGUUCAAGAAGUUCCCUAAAUGAGUCAGUCUCCUAAAUCAAGUGAAUUUCCACCAAAAAUGUUCAGAAAAUAUACAAGUAAAAUCAUCAAGCCAUUAUCCCAAACCAAGAUGAUUUAUCGAAAAUGGGAGAGGCACCUGGCAAAAGUCCUUCAUAUAGUAAAGCAGGAAGAGAAAGUGGUCUAAAAACCAUAGUGAUACAAUCAUAUCACCAAUAUUGGGAAAGAGGCUAAGAAAUUUUAUUAAAAUGAAGAUUUUUUUCAACACCAGGUAACAUUGAUCAAUGAUACCACAGGUUGGGGGUGGGUGGCUAGUUGUUUAACAAAGAACUGCUUAGUUAGAUAAAUGCCAUUUCUUUUUUUGAUGGUUGAGUGAUGAAUGGGACUGAAGUCA